CGUCCGAGUUGUAGUCUAGAGAAGCAUCAUCUACGCUGGACCAUGUACAAGUCUCUUGGAACAGAGCGUCAUAGAGGGUGAGAAUCCCGUCCUUGACAUGGACUCCCAGUGUUCUGUGUUGUGCUCUCAACGAGUCGAGUUGUUUGGGAAUGCAGCUCAAAAUGGGUGGUAAAUUCCAUCUAAAGCUAAAUAUUGGCGAGAGACCGAUAGCGAACAAGUACCGUGAGGGAAAGAUGAAAAGCACUUUGGAGAGAGAGUUAAACAGUACGUGAAAUUGUUGAAAUGGAAACGCUUGAAGUCAGUCGCGUUCUCUGGGAUUCAGCCUUGCUUUUGCUUGGUGCAUUUCCUAGUCUACGGGCCAGCAUGGAUUUUGACCGUUGGAAAAGGGCUGGGGGAAUGUGGCACCUUCGGGUGUGUUAUAGCCCCCUGUCGCAUGCAUCGGUUGGGAUCGAGGACCUCAGUGCACGCUUCGGUUGUGCUUUGAUGCUGGCGUAAUGGCUUUAAACGA
RNAcentral lists this ribosomal RNA (508 nucleotides) under uncultured Ceratobasidium. RNAcentral describes it as "LSU rRNA". It matches the Rfam family "Eukaryotic large subunit ribosomal RNA", at positions 135 to 647 of the family's 3401-position model. The record is from RNAcentral. Lineage: Eukaryota; Fungi; Basidiomycota; Agaricomycetes; Cantharellales; Ceratobasidiaceae.